ACAGUAAUAGCUUUCUGGAUACCUGCACUCAUGUCAAUGCCGACUGGAGGAAGUGGCGCCAAGCAACUAGAAUCCUGUGUGAUCACUGGAUGCCCCUACACCUCAAGUCAAAGAUUUACAGAACACUUGGGCUACCAGUUGU
Molecule: non-coding RNA, 142 nt
Organism: Pseudonaja textilis
Lineage: Eukaryota; Metazoa; Chordata; Lepidosauria; Squamata; Elapidae
Source: RefSeq, a predicted model, not a curated record